AACGCUGGCGGCGCGCUUAACACAUGCAAGUCGCACGAGAAAGGGAGCAAUCCUAAGUAAAGUGGCGCACGGGUGAGUAACACGUGGAUCAUCUACCUUUUAGUGGGGAAUACCUCUGGGAAACCGGAGACAAUACCGCAUAAGCCUGUAAAGGGAAAGCAGCAAUGCGCUGAAAGAGGAGUCCGCGGCCGAUUAGCUAGUUGGCGGGGUAACGGCCCACCAAGGCGAAGAUCGGUAGCCGGCCUGAGAGGGCACACGGCCACACUGGCACUGAAACACGGGCCAGACUCCUACGGGAGGCAGCAGUGGGGAAUCUUGCACAAUGGGCGAAAGCCUGAUGCAGCGACGCCGCGUGAGCGAUGAAGCCCUUCGGGGUGUAAAGCUCUUUCGACGGGAACGAUAAUGACGGUACCCGGAGAAGAAGCUGCGGCUAACUACGUGCCAGCAGCCGCGGUAAUACGUAGGCAGCGAGCGUUGUUCGGAAUUACUGGGCGUAAAGAGUGUGUAGGCGGUGUUCCCAGUCUGUUGUGAAAUCUCCCGGCUUAACUGGGAGGGUGCAGCGGAAACUAGAAUGCUAGAGGGUGGGAGAGGUAAGCGGAAUUCCUGGUGUAGCGGUGAAAUGCGUAGAUAUCAGGAGGAACACCUGUGGUGUAGACAGCUUACUGGACCACUUCUGACGCUGAGACACGAAAGCGUGGGUAGCAAACAGGAUUAGAUACCCUGGUAGUCCACGCCCUAAACGAUGCAUACUUGGUGUGAGCGAUUCAUUUCGUUCGUGCCGGAGCUAACGCGUUAAGUAUGCCGCCUGGGGAGUACGGUCGCAAGGCUGAAACUCAAAGGAAUUGACGGGGGCCCGCACAAGCGGUGGAGCAUGUGGUUCAAUUCGACGCAACGCGAAGAACCUUACCUGGGCUCGAAAUGCUAUGGACAGUCUGUGAAAGCAGAUCUUCUCGCAAGAGACCGUAGUAUAGGUGCUGCAUGGCUGUCGUCAGCUCGUGUCGUGAGAUGUUGGGUUAAGUCCCGCAGCGAGCGCAACCCCUGUCCUGUGUUGCCACUCCCGUAAGGGAAGCACUCUCAGGAGACCGCCAGCGAUAAGUUGGAGGAAGGUGGGGAUGAUGUCAAGUCAUCAUGGCCUUUAUGUCCAGGGCUACACACGUGCUACAAUGGACGGUACAAAGCGCUGCAAACCCGCGAGGGGGAGCCAAUCGCAAAAAACCGUUCUCAGUUCGGAUCGCAGGCUGCAACUCGCCUGCGUGAAGCUGGAAUCGCUAGUAAUGGCGUAUCAGAACGAUGCCGUGAAUACGUUCCCGGGCCUUGUACACACCGCCCGUCACAUCACGAAAGUGGAUUGUACUAGAAGUCCUAAUCAAACAGGCCCAAGGUGUGAUUCAUGAUUGGGGUG
RNAcentral lists this ribosomal RNA (1402 nucleotides) under uncultured Acidobacteriota bacterium. RNAcentral describes it as "bacterial SSU rRNA". It matches the Rfam family "Bacterial small subunit ribosomal RNA". The record is from RNAcentral. Lineage: Bacteria; Pseudomonadati; Acidobacteriota.